UACGGAGGGUGCGAGCGUUGUCCGGAAUCAUUGGGCGUAAAGCGCGCGUAGGCGGCCCUGUAAGUCCGUUGUGAAAGUCAAAGGCUCAACCUUUGAAAGCCGAUGGAUACUGCAGGGCUAGAGUCCGGAAGAGGCGAGUGGAAUUCCUGGUGUAGCGGUGGAAUGCGCAGAUAUCAGGAGGAACACCAAUAGCGAAGGCAGCUCGCUGGGACGGUACUGACGCUAAGGCGCGAAAGCGUGGGGAGCAAACAGG
RNAcentral lists this ribosomal RNA (253 nucleotides) under uncultured bacterium. RNAcentral's name for it is "partial 16S ribosomal RNA". It matches the Rfam family "Bacterial small subunit ribosomal RNA", at positions 524 to 776 of the family's 1533-position model. The record is from RNAcentral.